GACGAAACGUGCGAACGUUAUUCGGAAUCACUGGGCUUAAAGCGCGUGUAGGCGGGGCGGCACGUCGGUCGCUGAAAUCCCCCGGCUCAACCGGGGAAGGGGCGCCGAUACGACCGGCCUGGAGGGACGUAGGGGGGGCUGGAACUUCCGGUGGAGCGGUGAAGUGCGUUGAGAUCGGAAGGAACGCCCGUGGCGAAAGCGAGCCCCUGGACGUCUACUGACGCUGAGACGCGAAAGCCAGGGGAGCGAACGGG
Molecule: ribosomal RNA, 254 nt
Filed under: uncultured bacterium
Lineage: Bacteria
Description: partial 16S ribosomal RNA
Rfam family: Bacterial small subunit ribosomal RNA
Source: RNAcentral